UUCUGUUUUGUUUUUUAAUCCAAGAAGGGUGUCUUGCUGGUGUCUGAAUAGAGGAAAUACCUUUUCAAACCUUGGGGAAAAUCCUAAUUUAAAGAGGGAGGAGUGAUUAUUCAAGGCUAAUAUUAACUGUGAGCUGUGUGUAAGACAACCUUCUUAAUCAAAGUUUGUGGAGGUCGGUGUGGAAAAAGAAAACAGAUAUUUACUAUCAUGAUCAUGUCGGGGAGAAGGUUGAUUUUCUGUCUAUUAUUUUUGCUUAUGUUCUGACAGUCUUGGAUUGUAUCUCUUCCACAAUGAUGCUCUUACAUCAGCAGCUGACAAUAAGACAUAUUUCCUCUAUCUGAAGAUGAAUUUUUCCUUACUUAAAGGAUGGCAGGAGUUGAAUGCAAUCAUUCAGCUAUUUUUCUACUUCGAGUUGAUUAUUGAUUUUUUCACUACUAGCUAUUGAAAGUUUGUAGAGAACAAGGUACUGAUAAACCUUUUAGCCAUUAAGAUGUAUAAUUUUUUAGAAAUAUCAUGAAGAGAGAUAAACAUAACUGGGAAAAAUAAGAAUAUAAAACUGGAAGCAAAGUAUUUCCUAAUAGAUAGUGUUAUUAAAAUCACAUAGUAUUUGUAAUACAUACAAAAUGUGCUCCCCUUUUUUAUUUCCCUCUAGUUCUUUUUCAUUUGGACAGCAGUUGUGCAAUUUAAAAAAAACACACACUCAAAUUUGCUGUAUUGUUACCCCCUGCUCCCACCCUCCUCCCCAGAUCUAUACUUCAAUAUUUGAAGAAGCUGUUGAGAUAAAUCAAAUAGUGACACAUUGACGGGUUUACUUGUGUAAGCAAUAUGGUUAACAUAUGGCAUUGUUAUUUAUGAAUGACAGCAUAACUUGUAUUACAAAGUCUAUUGCUAUAAUGCUGCAGUUUAUUGGAAAGCUGCUCUGCUGUCACUAGUAUUCAACCUCCCUGUUUGUAUUUCACCUAGGACCCCAAAGGAAAAUAUCGGAAUAAUGAAACAUUCUCAUGUAAGCUAAUGCCUCCGGCUUUGUUUUUAUUGUUUGCUAGAGUAAAAAUACUCCCCUAAGGAAAUCGGGGACGCAGUGAGACAAUAAAGUCCUCCUUCCUUAUGUAAGAGCACAAUCCCAAUUCCACAGUCCCAACAGACAGUGACUAGUGGUCUGCUUGUAAUUCUCCCAUUCUUUCCUUCUCCAGACAAAUGAAGUGAUCGCCACAUCCCUAAAUCGCUGGCGAGCACAUUUUUAUAUAGCAACAUUUUUUUUUUAAAGCAGCACAGCUACAGAAUAGUAAAUGUUAACCUUAGGAAGGAGAAAAGGUAAAGGUCUUUUAGCAAAUUUCUCAAACAUUGUGGCGGACAUCCGCCCACCCUUCCCUCGUUCUUUAUUUUUUUUUUAAAGGGCAUUUAAAAGUUACUACUUUGGCUGAGAUUUUCAUUAUUUCCCUUUUCUUUUACAUUACACUUCUGUUAAACUGACAAAGAACUUUUGUUCCGAAGUGUGUUUUACAGAGGGAGGCUACACCACCACACAUGUGGUCUUUCACGGGUCAUAGGUCGAACGGCCCAGAAGUGGCUAAGAUCGGCAGAAUCAAAGUGACAGGAGUGAAAGAGGUUUUGCUGUUUGUAGAGAAAUAAAGCACUUCUUAGAGGGGACGGCAACGUGACUUUGAACUUGGAUCAGCUCGUCUGUUUCCUGCAGGGAGAGUAGAACUGGAGCCCUGAAAGAAUAGCAAAGAGAGUCCAGCCUGCGGGGUCUCCGACUGGAAUUAAGGAAUUCCCUACAAACUACCCCAAAGCAGUCUCCUGAAGCCAUAGAGCCCGAAUUCAGCAGGGUGAUCUUAGUAUGAGAAUGGUAAUGAGAAAAAGAAAAAUCAAAGAAAAAUUAAAGAAUAGGAAAAAGGUCGAGGGAAACAUAGAAGUAAAGAGAGAAAAGGAAGAUAUAUGGAAGGCAGGAGAGAAAGAGAGAGAGAGAGAGAGAGAGAGAGAGAGAGAGAGAGAGAGAGAGAGAGAGAGAGAGAGAGAGAGAGAGAGAGAGAGAGAUAAGGAGAAGAGAAAAGGUCAUAAUGGAUUUGACUAUCCAGUGUAUAAAUAAUCGAAGAGAAACAAUUCUUACAAUCAAAAUAGAAGAAAAUAUUUUCUUUCAGGAAUUGUUUGAUACCAAAACAUUUUCAGUUAUUCUCCCUUUAUUCUAAAGCCAACAUAAACGAGUAAAUAAUCUUGUGUAAUGGUUAUGUAUCUCAAUAUUUUGGACGAAGAUGAAGUAAUAGGGGCAGAAUCUGCUCUCUCUCUCUCUCUCUCUCUCUCUCUCUCUCUCUCUCUCUCUCUCUCUCUCUCUCUCUCUCUCUCCUCUUCUUCCUUUUUUUUUUUCCUUUUAGGAGUACGGGACUAGCCGUGGUUUUCCCACUUGCUUAAAAUGCUUGGUCGGAUAAAAGACAGUGGAAACGUCCCUGAAUUCAGGGAGAAGAGCUCAGACUUCCAAGAAUCCCGCGGAAACAACUCGGCUUUUGGAGGAGGUGUCAUUGCCCUAAAGAACAACUACAGAAAUUACCAAAACCUCUCAGACGUUUCAAGUGAUCCCAAGAGCUGCCAGGUCCUUCUUCUGCUCUGCGAAUUUGGGGACUUAUGCCAUGGACUAAGAAGAUAGCUAAGAGAAAAGGCACUCUGGUUUUUCUGCAGUGAAAAUGUUUGAUUCCACGCAGAUAAUAAUAGUAACUUAUUUAAAAUUUGAAAAUAAAAAAAUAAAGCCUUGUA
This is a non-coding RNA of Monodelphis domestica (gray short-tailed opossum), 2745 nucleotides long. The record is from RefSeq and is a predicted model, not a curated record. NCBI's taxonomy places the organism in Eukaryota, Metazoa, Chordata, Mammalia, Didelphimorphia, Didelphidae.